GACGAACGCUGGCGGCGUGCUUAAUACAUGCAAGUAGAACGCUGAAGAGAGGAGCUUACUCUUCUUGGAUGAGUUGCGAACGGGUGAGUAACGCGUAGGUAACCUGCCUUGUAGCGGGGGAUAACUAUUGGAAACGAUAGCUAAUACCGCAUAACAAUGGAUGACACAUGUCAUUUAUUUGAAAGGGGCAAUUGCUCCACUACAAGAUGGACCUGCGUUGUAUUAGCUAGUAGGUGAGGUAAUGGCUCACCUAGGCGACGAUACAUAGCCGACCUGAGAGGGUGAUCGGACACACUGGGACUGAGACACGGCCCAGACUCCUACGGGAGGCAGCAGUAGGGAAUCUUCGGCAAUGGGGGCAACCCUGACCGAGCAACGCCGCGUGAGUGAAGAAGGGUUUCGGAUCGUAAAGCUCGGUUGUAAGUCAAGAACGGGUGUGAGAGUGGAAAGUUCACACUGUGACGGUAGCUUACCAGAAAGGGACGGCUAACUACGUG
This 497-nucleotide ribosomal RNA is filed under the name uncultured bacterium. Its description in RNAcentral is "partial 16S ribosomal RNA". It matches the Rfam family "Bacterial small subunit ribosomal RNA", at positions 28 to 507 of the family's 1533-position model. The record is from RNAcentral.